AGCGUUAAAUUUUCUCUAAAAUAAAAGUAGAAUCGAUUACUGUAAAAGUUAUGUGUUAGUUUUGAAAGUGUUUUUCGCCUACUUAGAGUGUAUAUUUAAAAGUUUUUCUUUUCAACACAAACAUUGUAAAAUUGUCAAACCACCUAUUUCAAAAUACUUUUUUUUCUGUUCUGUCAGUGACAGUUGUUGUUCAUGAUCGCUUGCCGGAGGAUGUGGUCUGCUUUUAUUUUUUUCGAUAAUAAUAAAUUAAACAAAAUCUUAAGUUUUCCGAUGGCACCGUGGUAAAUUUUAACGACACAGAGUCUAAGAUCUUUCAUCAUCCGAUUCAAAAUGCUAUCUUGGCGAGAAACAUCAAAUUUUUUACAUAAUGUUGUUGCAGAAAAUAACUCUUGGAACCAAAAGGAAAAAACCCUUAGCGCAAUCUGUGAACUCCAACGAGUGCACGUAAAAAAAU
Armigeres subalbatus is the source of this 454-nucleotide long non-coding RNA. RefSeq lists it as uncharacterized. The transcript is spliced from 3 exons. The record is from RefSeq and is a predicted model, not a curated record. NCBI's taxonomy places the organism in Eukaryota, Metazoa, Arthropoda, Insecta, Diptera, Culicidae.